UGAUUCCAACCCAUCUAAGAAGAGAACCAAUCUGCUACAGCCUUUCUUUUAUAGAGAAUUAAUUUUCUUAGUUUUUACAUUUCCUAUCAAGGUGUAUUCUGGUGGUUGCCAUUUUCAAAUUGUGCUAAAGAAUUGCACAGUUUUCAGCGAGCAACCAAAUUGAAAUUAUAGAGGCAUCUGGAUGUUUACGUAAGGAAUUUGUUUAUGCCAAUAAAAAGUUAGCUUGGCAUUGACAAAUAUAAGAUGUGGGACAUUGCGACAUAUUAAUUUUAUUGUGUACUGCUCUGUCAUCAAAAACAUGGUUAAUUGAUGGCAAGAACUAAAUACGUAUGACUGUAUUUGCAAAUGUGAAGAUGAGUCUUGGUUAAAGUUUGUGUAAUUUGCUGACUGAAAAAUCUUAAGUAGUUUAAACUUUUAAUAGAAGAAUGUGUCUUGCAACCAAGAAAGAGUGAAAUGGAGUUGUUUUUGUGAAUGCUUGUUGAAAACAGAAACUUCAAAUCCUCUAAGGUCUAUUUGCUGCAUAUAAAGGAAGUAGAGCAUUGCACAGUUUCUAUCUCGUUCUAUUUGGGUUCAAAAGUGAAAUAUUUGGCCUUGUAUAGAGUUCUGCUGGCUUAACAGUUGUUUGCUGAAGGUAGUUAUUCAGUUUAACUAACGGAUAAACUGUAGUUACAGUAUUUGUAUAUUUGUUUUUUGUGCUACUGCUAUUGCAAGUUAUAUUUGAUGAUGUUCUUCAAUUACUAGCUUAGGUUAUUGGGGUUUAUAUGCGGUUUUAUUAUCCUGCGGUUUUAGAAUGUUCAGUGAGGUGCUUGGAAUAGUUCGUGUUUUAAUGAUUUGGGCAAGGUUUUGAAAAAACAGGUGGGAAAAUUGGGUGUCCCACCAUCCUGAGUGUCCGGAUGGGAUGAGUCAGGAAAUGGACCAAGAUGUGAUAGGACAUCCAUUGUAUGUGAGCAGUCCAUUCCAUGGAAAAUGUGGGAUGGCCCCAUCACCUGUUGUGUAUAUCCUUGGGUUUUGGGCUUUGAUUUGAGAGGGGAACGAGGAACUUAGAUUGGUGGAACAUGGACUUCAAUGAUGCCUUUUUUUACAUUUAUUUUGCAUCAUUACUUGUAAAGUGAAUAGAAGGCAAACAGUUGGAAGAAGAUGACAAUUGAUUUCUCCAUGAAUGCGUGCUUGCAUUCUCUAAUUUCGUAUUUUCCCCUGUUCUUUGAUUGGAUCUAAAUAUUGAACUUCCUGUGAAACUAACAAGCAUGCCGGUAUGUUUUUUUGCAUCUUAACCGUCAUCAUCUUUGUAAAUGGAUUAAAGUCCAAAGCUUCAUAUACUGCAAUUAAUGAGCAAAGCAUAUCCAGCAUGUUAUUUCACGAUCACAUAAUUCUAUCAAAUAUAACUCAAAUUUUGUAUACGAUCAGCACUUAAAGCUUUUACUAUCAUGACAAGGAGCAAGUUGUCUACUUUAUUCUUAAUGUACAAUUAAUUUGAAAAGCCAUUUGGUUUUUGAUAGGAGAUUAAUGGGGUCGAGUGCUGAAUUAGAAUAAUGGAGGCAAAAUUUGGUGACUGUGGUUUGUAAUUAAAUAGAGAAUGUAUGAUAUGCAACCUAGCGAACAUUAAAAUGAAAAUGGAAGUUCAAGUGAAAUGGAUGAAUUUACGGUAAUUUCUGGUGAAGUUACUGCUAAUAUUCCAGAAGAUGUUGCACAAUGUAGCCUAUUUGUAGAUGACGUAGUUGAUUUGAUAAUAAAAAGAUUAUACUAAAUGCUAAGUUAGAUUUAUAGAAGAAAGGGCUUAACAAUCAGUAGAACAAUGGUAGAGUUAAUGGUAGUGAAAUGGAUGAAUUUACAGUAAUGUCAGGUAAAUUUACUACUAAUACUCCUGACGAUGUGAAUGUAGGCUAGUUGUAGAUGAUGUAGUUGAUUGACAAGAGAAAAACUAUACUAAAUGCAUAAUUGGAUUUGCAGAAGAAAGGGCUUAACAAUCAGUAGAAUACUAGUAGUUAGUGAAAAUAAAAGGGAGGAUGAGGCCCCAGACAAUUUUGAUGGAUAAGAUAUACCACAAAGUGAUUGGUUCCAUCAUUUAGAAUUUGCUAUACAGAAUAAUGGGGAUACGCGAAGACAUGCUAUAUAGUUAGAGCUAGUUGGAUGAAGAUGGGAGGUGCUUUGGAGAAUUAUGUGAUUGAUACAUGCCUUGGCAACUUGAGGAAUAACUUUUCUAGAAUAACAAAUAAAACUUACAAUGUCAUAUGACAACACUGAACAGUAAAGGUCUAAUAAAACAUGUAGAGUGGAGAAGAAAUAUGAAUCCUAAUGUAGAUAUGUGGUACAAUUUUGUGUGUAUUGAAAAGAUGAGUAUAUAACGAUAGAAUGAUAGGUAGUUUGAUCAUGACACUAUAAAGUAUGGAUGUAUGCAACAAAGAAAUGACAGGACUGUUUGCAAGGAGGGUUAUGUAAAUCUUUGCUGGAAGAUGUAGGAAAAGGAGAAGGAAACCUAUGGUUACACAGGCUGAAGUUUUUAAGGACAUGAAAAAGCUUGUAAUAAAAUCAAGGAUAACCCUAAAUAGGAAUGUUUGGUAAGUAAGGAUUUGUCAAGCUGAUUCUGAAUAGUUGGGGCAAGGCUUGAUGGUGAGUUCUGAUUAUAUUCAAAGGGUUGUGAGAAGAAACAGUGGAAUGAAGAAAGGAAAAAGGAAGCAAUCAGGAGGAAAACAUUUAUGAAUUGGUCAUUAAAGCUAUUAGCAUGACUUGAUGGAUGCUGAUCUUGUCAUCACAUCUAGACUAAGACCAAGAAAAGACCAAGAACAAUCUAAAUCUUGUAGUUAUGGAAGUCAAGUUGUUUCAACAGAUAAUUUGAAUACCAGGAGGGUUGUACGAAGGAUUAAUAUAGGUAAGAUAAUAAAAGGAAGUAUUUGAUGAGUUUAUUAUAUUUCUUUUCUUUUGCAUGUGAGUUUGUUUUGGUUCUGUUGUCUUAAUAAGGAUUUGGAGUUAUUUGCGAGAGGCUGAUGGGUAAAAAGAUAAGCAACUAGUAGGAAGGGGGUGCCUGACUUCCUUGAUUGGUCAAGGGAAAAAAGUGAUUGUCAGAAGUUACUGCAGGAAGUAGAUGGAGAAAAAAGGUAGAUGUUUUGGUGAAAAUUGUAGGUGGGUCGAACAAGAUUGAAUGUGGAUGGCUUGACAUCUAAGAAUGACGGGCUUGAUGGUGUGGGUGGGCUGACAAGCGGCAAGAGAUGAAAUAAGAAGGAUUUGCUGGGGGGAAAGCAAUCAUGUGUGACUAGUGGAACUCAGGUAAGUGGAGUUUAUGGAACCUAUAGUAGAAUUUGGAUUAAAUUGGAUGACAGUGUUCUGGUGUUUCAUCUUGAUGGGAGCUAGAUUUUGCCAAAAGGAUCUUCACUAUCUUAUUGAAGAUAUGUAUGGACUACAGAAUCUAGAAGACUUUACAGUUAUAUCCGGGAAGGAUGUGAUCUGGCUGAUUGAUUGCUAGCCAUCGCAGAGCUCACUAGAGUCGACAUGGAAUUAAGGUUUAGAGCAUUGUAAGGGUUUGGGUUUGGUUGGACAAUCUGGAAAAUUUCACUUGUUUGUAACUGUUUCUGUAGCCCUUGUGGCCCGUUUACCCAAAAAAAGGGGGGCAAAAAAGACAAUGAGCUAUGAUAAGCUAGUGACUUACCUGUUGUCAUGUGUGGACAUGAGUCACAAGAACUUUAAUGUAAAGGAGGAAAUGACUUGAGGUAUUAUUUUUAACAUAGCUACUUAAGGUUGUUUUAUUUCAUUUAUCCAUCAGUUUGAUCAUAUUUUGGUAAUCUUGAUUAUUCACUCCUACUAAAAAAUCUUGAUUAUUCACUGCAUUCUGAAAAUAAAAUUUAACAGGUAAACGAUUCUAGUUUUGGUUUCUUUCUCGAGUUUUCUGCAAGCAUAAGGUGUGUGGACUAAUGCCUGUGUAUGUUAAUUGUAUAUAUUUGCUUUUAUGCUAUUAAUGAUUCUUUAUUUAAUGCAUUCAAGUUUGUUGGUCAGGUGUCGGCCUAUUUGCGGAAGCAUGCAUAAAUCUUUCGCUGUGCAAGUUCUGCGCUUCACCUUCCUCAGAUUCUUAUCUAAGAUGGAUUUGAUACCUUGGGCUGCCAUUUGUGGUUGGAAGGCUUCACGAGGUAGCCUUUCGAGAACCUUGAAUUCCGGUACUUGCAUUAGCAUCAUUAGGGCUUUCGAGCCCCAAAAGAUGGACUAAAGGUGUGUUGGGUCGACACCUAAAAGUUCACCCUCGACACUUGCAACUUUAUAUCACUGGUUAUAUCAGUUGUCAUAUAUCUGCACACGUACAAUCAAAGUCGAGGAUUCAAUAUCUGGCAGCUCACUUUCUUGGCCGCAAAAGUGGAACUGAAACUCUUGAGAACCAAGAGUUCAUGCUAAGUUUUAGGAGGAAUGGAAAUUUAAGACCGUUUUUGGGUCUUCUUAUUCCCUAGGAGUCGGACAUUCUUAAAGCAUUCUGGCACCCGAACGACGAAAAGCAGCUGUUCAAAGAAUACUUUAUUUUGAAUGAUUUAUUCAAGCUUGUCGAUGAUGUCGAUGGAUCAAGUUCUUUUAUCUCAACAACCGUAAAGCAUUCGUUUUGUUGUUAAUUUGUUGCAACAUUUCACGACAUUCAGUUAUUCAUGGUAUCCAAAUUAUACGAAUUAUAAGAAACUCAUACUAGAAAUACCAGUAAUUUUCUGCUGAA
Molecule: non-coding RNA, 4681 nt
Organism: Elaeis guineensis (African oil palm)
Lineage: Eukaryota; Viridiplantae; Streptophyta; Magnoliopsida; Arecales; Arecaceae
Source: RefSeq, a predicted model, not a curated record